CCUUCCAGCAGUUUCCUGUAGGUGGCGAUCUCUAUGUCCAGAGCCAGCUUCAAAUUCAUCAGUUCCUGGUAUUGGCGGACUUGCAGGGCCAUAUCCUGCUUGGCUCUCUGGAGAGCUUCCUCCAGGUCUCUGAUGCGGAGUUUAGCAUCCUUCACUGCCAGCUCACCACGCUCCUCAGCCUCUGCAAUUUGAGCUUCCAAACUGUUUCGCUAAGAGUAGAGGGGGAAGAGUAGCACAAAAAAUCAAAAGUCUUUACUGGAGCCUCAAUAUCUUGCGGUUCAUGUCAGCGAUCUCAGCCUUGGAUGACUUCAGGUCGUCACCAUAUCUGCCUGCUGACUGCUGCAUUUCUUCAUACUGGAACAGACAAGGACAACUCAGGCUGACUUCAAAAUGCAACAGAUAAUCUAGAUACGUUUUAGUUGUCUACAACAAAUCUGGUGUCAUACAAGUUUUUUUUGGCAAGGUCAAGAGAAUAUACUUCACCCCACAUAUAACUGGUGAAAAUCAUGUACCGUGCAGCUGAGAACAGGAGGGCUUGGUACACUCAGUGUUAAAUGUACAAUGACAGGAAGUCAGCUGGAGAGACUCUCCUCACUGAUGAUGGAGUGCAGGUUGAAGGCUUCAACUUCAGAUCACACGAAGAGUGGUCUCACCUUAGUCUGGUACCAUGACUCAGCCUCGGCUCUGCUACGGUUGGCGAUGUCUUCAUACUGGGCACGCACUUCAGCGACGAUGGCGUCCAUGUCUAGGUUACGGCUGUUGUCCAUCUCCACCACAACGGAUGUGUCCUUGAUCUGACCCUGCAGCUCAUGGAUUUCCUACACAGGUAGAAUAAUACAUCAACAUAAGCAAAGAAGAAAUGGACGUGGUAAAACAUCAUUUUAAAAUUUCCCUUUGUUUCAAGAUGACAUUAAUUUGUGUGUGGCUGAAAAGUGAAAUAAAGUUAUUACUGCAUCGAA
This is a long non-coding RNA of Micropterus dolomieu (smallmouth bass), 959 nucleotides long. RefSeq lists it as uncharacterized. Lineage: Eukaryota; Metazoa; Chordata; Actinopteri; Centrarchiformes; Centrarchidae. The transcript is spliced from 2 exons. The record is from RefSeq and is a predicted model, not a curated record.